RNAcentral lists this ribosomal RNA (384 nucleotides) under Chrysochromulina sp. RNAcentral's name for it is "SSU rRNA". It matches the Rfam family "Eukaryotic small subunit ribosomal RNA", at positions 587 to 975 of the family's 1831-position model. The record is from RNAcentral. Lineage: Eukaryota; Haptophyta; Prymnesiales; Chrysochromulinaceae.
AGCUCCAAUAGCGUAUAUUAAAGUUGUUGCAGUUAGAACGCUCGUAGUCGGAUUUCGGGGCGGGCCGACCGGUCUGCCGAUGGGUACGCACUGGUCGGCGCGUCCUUCCUUCCGGAGACCGUGCCUACUCUUAACUGAGCGGGGGCGGGAGACGGAUCGUUUACUUUGAAAAAAUCAGAGUGUUUCAAGCAGGCAGCUCGCUCUUGCAUGGAUUAGCAUGGGAUAAUGAAAUAGGACUUUGGUGCUAUUUUGUUGGUUUCGAACACCGAAGUAAUGAUUAAAAGGGACAGUCAGGGGCACUCGUAUUCCGCCGAGAGAGGUGAAAUUCUCAGACCAGCGGAAGACGAACCACUGCGAAAGCAUUUGCCAGGGAUGUUUUCACUG